Molecule: long non-coding RNA, 454 nt
Organism: Oncorhynchus tshawytscha (Chinook salmon)
Lineage: Eukaryota; Metazoa; Chordata; Actinopteri; Salmoniformes; Salmonidae
Source: Ensembl
GGCAUAGCUAUGUCUCUCCCCCUCCCUGUGGCAUGGCUAUGUCUCUCUCCCUGUGGCAUAGCUAGGUCUCUCUCCCUGUGGCAUGGCUAUAUUUUUCUCCCUGUGGUAUAGCUAGGUCUCUCUCCCUGUGGCAUAGCUAGGUCUCUCUCUCUCCCUGUGUAUAGCUGUCUCUCUCUCUCCCUGUGUAUAGCUAUGUCUCUCUCCCUGUGGCAUAGCUAGGUCUCUCUCUCUCCCUGUGGCAUAGAUAGAUCUCUCUCUCUCUCCCUUUGGCAUAGCUAGGUCUCUCCCUCUCCCUGUGGCAUAGCUAGGUCUCUCCCUCUCCCUGUGGCAUGGCUAUGUCUCUCCCUCUCCCUGUGGCAUGGCUAUGUCUCUCCCCCUCCCUGUGACAUGGCUAAGUCUCUCCCCCUCCCUGUGGCAUAGCUAUGUCUCUCCCCGUCCGUGUGGCAUAGCUAGG